This 1903-nucleotide ribosomal RNA is filed under the name human gut metagenome. RNAcentral's name for it is "bacterial LSU rRNA". It matches the Rfam family "Bacterial large subunit ribosomal RNA", at positions 3 to 1985 of the family's 2925-position model. The record is from RNAcentral.
UCAAGCUGUAAAGGGCGCAAGGGGAAUGCCUUGGCACUGAGAGCCGACGAAGGACGCGACAAGCUGCGAUAAGCUACGGGGAGCCGCAAAUGGGCUUUGAUCCGUGGAUUUCCGAAUGGGGAAACCCGAUGGAGCAAUACUCCAUCAACCAUGACUGAAUACAUAGGUCAUGGUGGGGAACCGCCUGAACUGAAACAUCUAAGUAGGGCGAGGAAGAGAAAUCAACCGAGAUUCCGCUAGUAGUGGCGAGCGAACGCGGAAGAGGCCAAACCGGAGGUAGCAAUAUUUCCGGGGUUAGGACUGCAAUAUGUAACUUUAAUCUUUAACUGAAUGCUUUGGGAAGAGCAGCGAUACAGGGUGAUAGCCCCGUAAGUGAAAAGGAUUGAGUGCUAGCAGUAUCCAGAGUACCAGCGGACACGUGAAACCCGCUGGGAAGAUGGGGGGACCAUCCUCCAAGCCUAAAUACUACUCAGUGACCGAUAGUGGAGCAGUACCGUGAGGGAAAGGUGAAAAGUACCCCGGGAGGGGAGUGAAAAAGAACCUGAAACCUUGUGCCUACAAGCACCGAGAGCACGUUAAAGUGUGAUCGGGUACUUUUUGUAGAACGGUCCGGCGAGUUAAUAUUUGCAGCGAGGUUAAGGAACUGGAGUUCCGGAGCCGCAGCGAGAGCGAGUCUGAAAAGGGCGUAUGAAGUUGCAGGUAUUAGACCCGAAACCGGGUGACCUAUCCAUGAGCAGGCUGAAGCGGUGGUAAGACACCGUGGAGGGCCGCACCCACGUCUGUUGAAAAAGCCGGGGAUGACUUGUGGAUAGCGGAGAAAUUCCAAUCGAACUCGGAGAUAGCUGGUUCUCCCCGAAAUAGCUUUAGGGCUAGCGUUAUUUUAGAUUACCGGAGGUAAAGCACUGAAUGGUCUAGGGGCCGCGAGGUUACCAAAGCCUAUCAAACUCUGAAUGCCGGAUAAUUGAUGAAUAGCAGUCAGACUGUGUGAGAUAAGUCUCAUAGUCAAAAGGGAAACAGCCCAGAUCUACAGCUAAGGUCCCAAAUGAACACUAAGUGGAAAAUGAUGUGAAACUGCGAAGACAACCAGGAUGUUGGCUUAGAAGCAGCCACUCAUUCAAAGAGUGCGUAAUAGCUCACUGGUCGAGUGGUUUUGCGCAGAAAAUGUAACGGGGCUAAGUGUUCAACCGAAGCUUAGGCAUUGCAGCAAUGCAUUGGGUAGGGGAGCGUCGUAUGCGGGGUGAAGUCAGAGCGGAAGCACUGGUGGACUGCAUACGAGUGAGAAUGCCGGAAUAAGUAGCGAGAAUUAUGUGAGAAUCAUAAUGGCCGAAAAUCUAAGGUUUCUUGGGGAAGGUUCGUCCGCCCAAGGUUAGUCGGGAGCUAAGCUCAGGCCGAAAGGCGUAGGCGAUGCACAUACGGUAGAAAUUCCGUAACCACCGAACAUUUAAGCUAGAGGGACGCUUUCUUUAAGGUUAUCCCGGGCGAUGGUUGCCCCGGGCGUAAGGGACCGAAAUAUAGUAGGGAAGUAACUGGCGAGAGAGACGAGAAAAGCUCUAGUGUAUACUAAGGUGCCCGUACCGCAAACCGACACAGGUAGAUGGGAUGAGUAUUCUAAGGCCAACGGGAGAAGGGUUGUUAAGGAACUCGGCAAAUUGGCCCCGUAACUUCGGGAUAAGGGGCGCCUGCGAGAGCAGGCCGCAGUGAAAAGGCCCAAGCGACUGUUUAGCAAAAACACAGCUCUCUGCUAAAUCGAAAGAUGACGUAUAGGGGGUGACGCCUGCCCGGUGCUGGAAGGUUAAGGGGAGUGCUUAGCAGCAAUGCGAAGGUGCGAACUUAAGCCCCAGUAAACGGCGGCCGUAACUAUAACGGUCCUAAGGUAGCGAAAUUCCUUGUCAGGUAAGUUCUG